AAUUCUCAACCUUAUUUGAUUCGUCUUGUAAGGCUUGGAUGUGAGGGUUGCCGGCUUCCUUUAGUGGAUGGCCAGCUCCCUUUAAAAGCAUUAGCUGGGAUCCUUUGUGGACUAGUUCACUUGGUGUGAUAAUUUAUCUACGCCGCUUGUGCAACUUGAAGCAAAACUUGUGGGAACCUGCUUAUAACCGUCUCUUCGGGGACAACCUAAUGACA
RNAcentral lists this unclassified non-coding RNA (215 nucleotides) under uncultured Agaricales. Its description in RNAcentral is "sequence contains ITS2". Lineage: Eukaryota; Fungi; Basidiomycota; Agaricomycetes; Agaricales. The record is from RNAcentral.